RNAcentral lists this transfer RNA (76 nucleotides) under Acholeplasma sp. OttesenSCG-928-E16. Its description in RNAcentral is "tRNA-Lys". It matches the Rfam family "tRNA". From Rfam's summary of the family: Transfer RNA (tRNA) molecules are approximately 80 nucleotides in length. Their secondary structure includes four short double-helical elements and three loops (D, anti-codon, and T loops). The record is from RNAcentral. Lineage: Bacteria; Bacillati; Mycoplasmatota; Mollicutes; Acholeplasmatales; Acholeplasmataceae.
GCACCCUUAGCUCAGUUGGUAGAGCAGCAGACUCUUAAUCUGUGGGUCCACGGUUCGAGCCCGUGAGGGUGUACCA